This 253-nucleotide ribosomal RNA is filed under the name uncultured bacterium. RNAcentral describes it as "partial 16S ribosomal RNA". It matches the Rfam family "Bacterial small subunit ribosomal RNA", at positions 524 to 776 of the family's 1533-position model. The record is from RNAcentral.
GACAGAGGUCUCGAGCGUUAGGCGGAAUCACUGGGCUUAAAGCGUGUGUAGGUGGAUGCCUAAGUACCUUGUGAAAUCCCACGGCUUAACCGUGGAAUUGCUUGGUAUACUGGGUGUCUUGAGCCACUUAGGGGCAACCGGAACAAAUGGUGGAGCGGUGAAAUGCGUAGAUAUCAAGUGGAACACCAGUGGCGAAGGCGAGUUCCUGGACACUUCCUGACACUGAGGCACGAAAGCUAGGGGAGCAAACAGG